This 65-nucleotide transfer RNA is filed under the name Cryptocephalus pominorum. Its description in RNAcentral is "tRNA-Trp". It matches the Rfam family "tRNA". From Rfam's summary of the family: Transfer RNA (tRNA) molecules are approximately 80 nucleotides in length. Their secondary structure includes four short double-helical elements and three loops (D, anti-codon, and T loops). Lineage: Eukaryota; Metazoa; Arthropoda; Insecta; Coleoptera; Chrysomelidae. The record is from RNAcentral.
AAGGAUUUAAGUUAAUUAAACUAUCGGCCUUCAAAGCCAAAAAUAGAAGAUUUUUCUAAGCCUUA